Non-coding RNA from Pelobates cultripes (western spadefoot toad), 122 nucleotides. NCBI's taxonomy places the organism in Eukaryota, Metazoa, Chordata, Amphibia, Anura, Pelobatidae. The record is from the annotation of a GenBank genome assembly.
UUUUAGUAGCCACUUAGUCACAAACACUGGCCAAAGUUAGCAUUUUUUUGCAUUUCAAACACACAAACAAAUGUAAAUGCUAACUUUGGCCAGUGUUUGUGACUAAAUGGCUACUAAAAAAG